AACGAACGCUGGCGGCGUGCUUAACACAUGCAAGUCGAACGGAAAGGCCCUGCUUUUGUGGGGUGCUCGAGUGGCGAACGGGUGAGUAACACGUGAGUAACCUGCCCUUGACUUUGGGAUAACUUCAGGAAACUGGGGCUAAUACCGGAUAGGAGCUCCUGCUGCAUGGUGGGGGUUGGAAAGUUUCGGCGGUUGGGGAUGGACUCGCGGCUUAUCAGCUUGUUGGUGGGGUAGUGGCUUACCAAGGCUUUGACGGGUAGCCGGCCUGAGAGGGUGAACGGCCACAUUGGGACUGAGAUACGGCCCAGACUCCUACGGGAGGCAGCAGUGGGGAAUAUUGCACAAUGGGCGGAAGCCUGAUGCAGCAACGCCGCGUGCGGGAUGACGGCCUUCGGGUUGUAAACCGCUUUCGCCUGUGACGAAGCGUGAGUGACGGUAAUGGGUAAAGAAGCACCGGCUAACUACGUG
RNAcentral lists this ribosomal RNA (468 nucleotides) under uncultured bacterium. RNAcentral's name for it is "partial 16S ribosomal RNA". It matches the Rfam family "Bacterial small subunit ribosomal RNA", at positions 28 to 507 of the family's 1533-position model. The record is from RNAcentral.